GACGAACGCUGGCGGCGUGCUUAACACAUGCAAGUCGAACGGAAAGGCCCUGCUUUUGUGGGGUGCUCGAGUGGUGAACGGGUGAGUAACACGUGAGUAACCUGCCCUUGACUUUGGGAUAACUUCAGGAAACUGGGGCUAAUACCGGAUAGGAGCUCCUGCUGCAUGGUGGGGGUUGGAAAGUUUCGGCGGUUGGGGAUGGACUCGCGGCUUAUCAGCUUGUUGGUGGGGUAGUGGCUUACCAAGGCUUUGACGGGUAGCCGGCCUGAGAGGGUGACCGGCCACAUUGGGACUGAGAUACGGCCCAGACUCCUACGGGAGGCAGCAGUGGGGAAUAUUGCACAAUGGGCGGAAGCCUGAUGCAGCAACGCCGCGUGCGGGAUGACGGCCUUCGGGUUGUAAACCGCUUUCGCCUGUGACGAAGCGCGAGUGACGGUAAUGGGUAAAGAAGCACCGGCUAACUACGUG
This 468-nucleotide ribosomal RNA is filed under the name uncultured bacterium. RNAcentral describes it as "partial 16S ribosomal RNA". It matches the Rfam family "Bacterial small subunit ribosomal RNA", at positions 28 to 507 of the family's 1533-position model. The record is from RNAcentral.